GGACUACCAGGGUUUCUAAUCCCGUUUGCUCCCCUAGCUUUCGUGUCUCAGCGUCAGCAAACCCCCAGCCAGCUGUUUUCACCUUUGGCGUUCCAAAUGAUAUCUACGCAUUUCACCGCUCCACCAUUUGUUCCGCUGGCCCCUAGGUUGCUCAAGACUUCCAGUAUACCAAGCAGUUCCACGGUUAAGCCGUGGGAUUUCACAAGGCACUUAGAAGUCCGCCUACACACGCUUUAAGCCCAGUGAUUCCGCCUAACGCUUGGCACCUCUGUAUUACCGCGGCUGCUGGCAC
RNAcentral lists this ribosomal RNA (292 nucleotides) under uncultured bacterium. RNAcentral's name for it is "partial 16S ribosomal RNA". The record is from RNAcentral.